UAGGGAAUCUUCCGCAAUGGGCGAAAGCCUGACGGAGCAACGCCGCGUGAGUGAUGAAGGUCUUCGGAUCGUAAAACUCUGUUAUUAGGGAAGAACAUAUGUGUAAGUAACUGUGCACAUCUUGACGGUACCUAAUCAGAAAGCCACGGCUAACUACGUGCCAGCAGCCGCGGUAAUACGUAGGUGGCAAGCGUUAUCCGGAAUUAUUGGGCGUAAAGCGCGCGUAGGCGGUUUUUUAAGUCUGAUGUGAAAGCCCACGGCUCAACCGUGGAGGGUCAUUGGAAACUGGAAAACUUGAGUGCAGAAGAGGAAAGUGGAAUUCCAUGUGUAGCAGUGAAAUGCGCAGAGAUAUGGAGGAACACCAGUGGCGAAGGCGACUUUCUGGUCUGUAACUGACGCUGAUGUGCGAAAGCGUGGGGAUCAAACAGGAUUAGAUACCCUGGUAGUCCACGCCGUAAACGAUGAGUGCUAAGUGUUAGGGGGUUUCCGCCCCUUAGUGCUGCAGCUAACGCAUUAAGCACUCCGCCUGGGGAGUACGACCGCAAGGUUG
Molecule: ribosomal RNA, 550 nt
Filed under: uncultured bacterium
Lineage: Bacteria
Description: bacterial SSU rRNA
Rfam family: Bacterial small subunit ribosomal RNA
Source: RNAcentral